This 1334-nucleotide long non-coding RNA is filed under the name Marmota monax (woodchuck). The record is from RNAcentral. Lineage: Eukaryota; Metazoa; Chordata; Mammalia; Rodentia; Sciuridae.
AGCACUUUCAUUCAUCUGAUUAUACCUUUAAAACAGUAAAAAUUUUAAAAAACAGAGCGAGAAAAAAGAUACUUGCAAAAACAUAUUCCAAUGAAGGAUUGUAUCUAGAAAAUCUAAAGAAUUGCAAGUCAAGAGAACAUAACUAACAACCUAAUAAAUAGUAGAUAAAAAGUGUACACAGUCACUUUAUAAACCCAAGUGUCUUAAUGCCAAUAAAGGUAAGAUGGUCAGCAUAAUUGCUAUCAAAAAUGUAAAUUAACCCUUAAUAAAAGAUCACCAAAUACCACCAAGAUGGUUAAGAUUGUUAAAAAAGUGACUAUGUCAAAUGUUGACCAGGAUGGACAGCACUGGGAACAUCUCACAUAUUGCUGCAGGGAAGGUAAAUGAGUUAAAUUCCUUCAGAAAAAACCACUGGACAUGAUUUACCCAACCACUCUCUCCUAAAGAUGUGUAUGAUCAUCUAAGACUAUAAAAUAACCUUUGCAUCUAUCAAUGGCAGAGUGGGUAGGUAAAUCAUGGCAUCUCCACACAAAAUAUGAAAGCCCUUAAAUGUCAUGGGAGGGAAUUGGAAAUCCCAAGUUUUCAAUUUUGUCCCAGGAAGUCUGUGAGUAUUUUAACAAAAUUAGCAUGGAUACAUGAAAAUAGAUCUGCAAUCAUAAUCUAUAGUUUCUACAUCCUUUAGAUACAUUUUCAUAUAUAUGUAUAUUUACACAUAUUAAAUGCAUAUAUUUUCUAAUUCUAUAAUUAUUCGCCUAUUAAUUUUUUCAAAAGAAUAGAACUCUAAAGGCAUGGCAUUCAUUUCAAAAGUUACCAUGAAUGGCUUAUUUGCUGCUCAGUUUAAGUUUUUAUAGGUGUCCCACAUCUGGGAUGAAGGAGCCUAACCAGUUAGUGGACACUGUUUAAAAGUUGUGAUUAGCAGAGCAAGAAAAACAGAAGAGGGUUUUAAGAAGUCACAUCAGAUAAUGUUCUGCAGAAAUGUGCUCCCAUUUGGAUACGUUUUUUUUCUUUUCAAGAGGUUCAUGUUGAUAACUCUUCAUAAUAGAUUACUUGGAGUCAUUAAAUGUUAUUUUAAAAUAGUCCCCCCACCCCAGAAUGUUUUCAUGUUGAGAUUCUGUUAUUAUUUUAAAAUAGUUUUUCCCCCACACAAUGUUUUCAUGUUGAAAUUCUUUACACAUUGAAAAAAAUCACACCUAACCACUUAUUGUAUACUCUAAAUGUCACCUAUUGAACUCCUUGUUUCUCGAAAAAAAUUUCAUUGCUUAAUAUAUCAAUAGUACAUUUAUUUUUGAAAAGUGGACAGAAGUGAAUUUAUCUGCCUGUAUUUUCUCUGCCUG